Fragaria vesca subsp. vesca is the source of this 2444-nucleotide RNA transcript. It is a transcript of the gene named AMP deaminase-like, with no coding region annotated. The record is from RefSeq and is a predicted model, not a curated record. NCBI's taxonomy places the organism in Eukaryota, Viridiplantae, Streptophyta, Magnoliopsida, Rosales, Rosaceae. The transcript has 13 exons.
AUGGAAGCUUAUGGCCACCAGCUUCAAUUUUCCAGCACUUGUCAUCCACAAACUGAUGGACAAACUGAAGUUGUGAAUCACACAUUGGGUAAUCUUCUGAGAUGUCUUGCUAGUGAUAGUCCUCGUCAAUGGGGCUUGGUGAUUCCACAUGCCGAGUUUGCUUACAAUAGUUCCAAGAAUCGUUCCACUCACAAGACUCCAUUUGAAAUUGUGUAUGGACGAAGUCCAAGUCAUAUAUUGGAUCGUGUUCCUAUUCCUAAUAUUGCCAAGAGUAGCAUGGAGGCGAAAGAACUCAGUAGUCAUAUUCGUGAAAUUCAAGAAAAAGUUCGAAUGAAUCUCGAAGGAGCAUAUGACAAUUACAAAAGAAAUGUUGAUGCACAUAGACGCCAUGUUGAAUCCCAAGAAGGUGAUUUGGUGAUGGCAUAUUUGAGAAAGGAAAGAUUCCCAGCUGGUACUUAUCACAAGCUGAAAAAGAAGAAGAUUGAUUCAGUUCCUACACCUCCUCAAGACAUGGACCUCUCCUCUACACCUAAGGAGACUAACUCACUGGAGGUUCUUGAUAGCAGAUCCAUUUCGACUCGUCGAGGUACUUACACACAAUAUUUAGUUCAUUGGAAGAAUUUGCCUAAGUUUGAAGCUAUAUGGAUUACUGAAAAAGAUUUGAAGGAGCUUGAUGAAGUGACAUGGGAACGAGUGGUGAUAUAUAUGCACGUCCGAGUUGGAAGAGUCAUAAAGCAAUCUCUUUGCGUAGAAGAUGACAUCGAGAAGGUCUUCAAGAAUUAUAUAUUGAGGUAUGAUCUGAAUGUUGACUUAUUGGAUGUUCAUGCACAAGUUCAACCUAAAGUAUAAUCCGUGUGGCCAGAGCAGACUCAGAGAGAUAUUCUUGAAGCAAGACAAUCUAAUCCAAGGACGAUUUUUAGCAGAAGUAACAAAGGAAGUUUUGAAAGAUCUCGAAGCCAUGAAAUACCAGAUGGCAGAGUACAGGAUUUCAGUUUAUGGGAGAAAACAAAGUGAGUGGGAUCAACUGGCUAGUUGGUUUGUUAACAAUGACAUUUACAGCGAGAAUGUAGUAUGGUUAAUACAGCUACCACGGUUAUACAAUAUCUACAAGAAGAUGGGGAUUGUUACCUCUUUCCAGAACAGUUUAGGAAAUGUUUUCAUUCCACUCUUCGAAGCCACGGUGGAUCCAAAUUCACAUCCUCAAUUACAUUUGUUCCUGAAGCAGGUGGUGGGUUUUGACGUUGUAGACGAUGAAAGUAGACCAGAAAGGCGUCCAACGAAACACAUGCCAACACAUCUGAAUGGACUAAUGAAUUCAAUCCUGCAUAUUCUUAUUAUGCUCAUUCCUGCUACGGAAACUUGCACACUCUUAAUAAGAUGAUUUUUAAGACAAUUUUCAUAUAUCCUAUGCAGGCAGGUGAUGUUGACCAUUUGGCUGCGGGAUUUCUUGUAUGCCAUAAUAUCUCACAUGGUAUCAAUCUUCGGUACUCUCCAGUUCUGCAAUACCUAUAUUACCUGGGGCAGGUGGGACUGCUUAUGUCACCCUUGAGCAAUAAUUCUCUUUUCUUGGAUUACAAGAAAAACCCGUUCCCUGUGUUCUUUCAACGCGGGCUAAAUGUGUCGAUUUCAAGCGAUGAUCCUUUGCUAAUUCAUUUGACAAAAGAAGCGCUGGUGGAAGAAUAUAGCGUUGCAGCACAGGUGUGGAAGCUCAGUGCUUAUGACCUCUGCGAGAUUGCUAUAAAUUCGGUAUAUCAUUCUGGAUUUUCACAUGCAGCAAAGACACAUUGGCUUGGUAGCAAGUAUUUCUUGAGAGGCCCUAAAGGAAAUGAUAUCCAAAAGACAAACGUUCCCAAUUUGAGGAUUGCCUUUCGAGAAACGACGUGGAAGGAGGAGAUGCAGUAUAUCUAUCACUGAGAAGCCGAGUUUCCAGAAGAAGUUGAUCCAUGAAGCAAAGGGAAAUAUGCUGCUGUAUCAUGUUCUUCUAAAUACAAGUAUAGAUUGGAAGCUUUGGCGGCAGUUACAUAGGUCUAAGCUGAAGGAGCAUAGGAAAUAUUGUGUGGAUCACCCCGUGGUGAUCGGCAAACUUGCUAAAGUAAAAGCUGAAGUUUUGGGAUCAAUUUGGUAUCAUGUGUGUUGACAUUUGAUGGUGUUCCACUACAUUAAAACACUAUUACAAAGUAAAAGCUGGAAGUUUUGGGAUUGAUGGUUUUUAGAAGUGGCUAUGAUACCACUCUUAGAAAUUGUUAUGUGCGGAAGCUUUUAAUGGUGAUGGGCUAGAACAAAGUGUUUAGGACUUUGGUAUAUAGGAGCUAGACUUGGGAGAAUGAUGUUAUUAGGACAAGGUUAUUAUGACAACUAGUUUAGGAGGAUAGAGGAGAAGGUGUAAACAGAGGAGGACUUAACUUGAAUUGCUUGCUUCUAUUUAUCACUUAUGAGUUCGUUAC